This 303-nucleotide ribosomal RNA is filed under the name uncultured bacterium. RNAcentral's name for it is "partial 16S ribosomal RNA". It matches the Rfam family "Bacterial small subunit ribosomal RNA", at positions 507 to 807 of the family's 1533-position model. The record is from RNAcentral.
AGCAGUCGCCGCGGGAACACGUAGGGUGCAAGCGUUAAUCGGAAUUACUGGGCGUAAAGCGUGCGCAGGCGGUUAUAUAAGUCAGAUGUGAAAUCCCCGGGCUCAACCUGGGAACUGCAUUUGAGACUGUAUGGCUAGAGUGUGUCAGAGGGGGGUAGAAUUCCACGUGUAGCAGUGAAAUGCGUAGAUAUGUGGAGGAAUACCGAUGGCGAAGGCAGCCCCCUGGGAUAACACUGACGCUCAUGCACGAAAGCGUGGGGAGCAAACAGGAUUAGAUACCCCUGUAGUCCCUGUCUCUUAUAC